RNAcentral lists this ribosomal RNA (110 nucleotides) under Planctomycetota bacterium. Lineage: Bacteria; Pseudomonadati; Planctomycetota. RNAcentral also lists the same sequence under 3 other names. The record is from RNAcentral.
UCCGGUGACUAUAGUAAGUUCAUAAAACCCGUUCCCAUUCCGAACACGGCAGUUAAGGUUCUUGCGCCGAUGGUACUGUUGAAUAGACGGGAGAGUAGGUAUUGCCGGAU